GAUGAACGCUGGCGGCGUGCUUAACACAUGCAAGUCGAACGAUGAGGCCCAGCUUGCUGGGUGGAUUCGUGGCGAACGGGUGAGUAACAAGCGCGUAACCUGCCCUUCACUCUGGGAUAAGCCUGGGCGACUGGGUCUAAUACCGGAUAGGAGCGUCCACCGCAUGGUGGGUGUUGGAAAGAUUUAUCGGUUUUGGAUGGACUCGCGGCCUAUCAGCUUGUUGGUGAGGUAAUGGCUGACCAAGGCGAUGACGGGUAGCCGGCCUGUGAGGGUGACCGGCCACACUGGGACUGAGACACGGCCCAGACUCCUACGGGAGGCAGCAGUGGGGAAUAUUGCACAAUGGGCGCAAGCCUGAUGCAGCGACGCCGCGUGAGGGAUGACGGCCUUCGGGUUGUAAACCUCUUUCAGUAGAGAAGAAGCGAAAGUGACGGUACCUGCAGAAGAAGCACCGGCUAACUACGUG
Molecule: ribosomal RNA, 466 nt
Filed under: uncultured bacterium
Lineage: Bacteria
Description: partial 16S ribosomal RNA
Rfam family: Bacterial small subunit ribosomal RNA
Source: RNAcentral